Musa acuminata subsp. malaccensis (wild Malaysian banana) is the source of this 1460-nucleotide long non-coding RNA. RefSeq lists it as uncharacterized. Lineage: Eukaryota; Viridiplantae; Streptophyta; Magnoliopsida; Zingiberales; Musaceae. The record is from RefSeq and is a predicted model, not a curated record.
UUCAAGUGACAAGUAGUUUUCAAGGAAGAAAUGUCUCAAAAAUGUACUGCAGAUUUCAAGGGGUAGAACAGUUGUCAUUGAUGUAGUUGAUGAUCUCUCGAGCACCAGAAUGGAUCCAUAAAUGUUGCAGACUUUCAGUUCUGACUGGUGGAAGCCACUUCACUCUAUCAGUGAUUCUUUCUUUCCAAAUGACAAUGUGUAAUGGGCCAGCCAUGUCUGAUUUCCUGCAGAUGACCAGUAUCCUCCCAUCCAGCCACAUAAACUUCAAGUGAUGUAUCCUAAUACUCUUCAAACUUCAAAGAUUGAUGGCAUUCAAAGAAUAGGUGGAAGGGCUACACAAUUUGGAUGAUCAGACAUGCCAUAUCUUUUCCAUGGCCAUUUCAAAAUGAAAAAAGUGUUCUUUAGUUCUCUUGUCGCUGAUUGUUGUUUGAUGCAUAUCAUUCUCAUGUUGUGGAGGACUGCGAAGCACACAUGCGGUCAGCUGGAGCACUGCAAAGUUGUAUCAUUUCCCUACUCUUGUCUUGAUAUGUUGAAACAAUUUGUUAAGGAGGUUCUCACAGAGUGUGAAGUCUUCCUGACCUGCAUCUGACCAACUGUUGACUUGGUGGCUCAUCCCAAGAGAACAAUUGCAUUGUCACUGUUCUCUUCGUGGACUGGUGAGAGCCUUCAAAUCAACCUAAUGAAACACCAACACCAUGUAAUAUUAUUAUAUCCUUAGCACAUGCUGCUGUCGCAGUUUCUACCUUUACAUGGUGUGUACGGCAGAAGUGAAGAGGGCCUCCCCAGAGCAGCCCGCGUGCUCCAGGUACCAUGCUCCAUGGUGCAGAGUGCACGCAAGUCAAAAAGGUUGCGGACACACCAACUCCACUGCUGCUUCAAAUGUGUUUCUGUUCCAAGACCUUUGAGACCACAGCCGAUGGCUCUUCUGGCUUCGUUUCUGUUUCUGCUACCCUAGUUUAAGAAUGAUUAACAUAGUACUACUUUCUCUGAUCUCCUUGUUUCUCACUGAACAUAAUCACCGGAAUACAUGAUGAUGAUGAUGAAGAAGAAGAAGAAGAAGAAUAAAAAAAAAUGCAACACCAAAAGGAUCCUAAGUUGUUAACACUUUGCAUCAUAGUCACUUGUACCAAAAGCUGUGAAGCAAGCAAAGAGUGUUUGUGGUUGGUAGUGCUUUGGACUUGUAGCUUUUAUCGGUAAGCUUACUGCCUUUAGAUGGCCUGCUCCUUGUUCUGGUCUCCAUGUCUCUGUCAUCUCUUCCUAGUCUUCUCGGUUGCCUUUCCCAUCAGCAAGUGCAAAUUGUGAGAGUCACAUGGUUGCUGGUGUUUAGUCUUUGUAUGUCUUCCUCGGGGUGGCUUUUCUCAAAAGGGUUGAUGCUAGGCAACCUUUCUUUGUCUGUGAAACUUGUUGACUGAGGAAAGCCGAAGCAUUCAUCAUCUUUAUGCAAAAGUACAUUUCCAUUA